RNAcentral lists this long non-coding RNA (2874 nucleotides) under Anser cygnoides (Swan goose). Its description in RNAcentral is "lncRNA (ENSACDG00005003570.1)". Lineage: Eukaryota; Metazoa; Chordata; Aves; Anseriformes; Anatidae. The record is from RNAcentral.
CUGCUAAACUUGUUCUUCUCCCCUGCCCCAGUGAAAGUGAAAUUGCAAUUUAGUGAGCCGCAGCUCAGACUUGGUUAUGCAUCCACAGGCACGUCAUUAUUCCCUGCAGACUGGAGUCUCCACACAUCUACACGCUGCUUGUUUCAGAGACUGUGGCCUCAGUUGAACUCCAGAUCCCUUUGCAUUCAGUCCUAUACACUCAGAAGCAAAUCAGCCUUGAGCUGGGAGUUGCCUCAUGUUAAAAUUCAGCCAUCAGUUUACAGAAAAGCAAUAAACCUUGCCUUGGAUACGGUAUCAGAGUGGCAGAGGAGCAGUGUGGAAACCUUGCUUGGGAUACAACUCAUCCGACAGAGUGAAAGAGGUCUCAGCCUCCUGAGGACAUUCAGCAUGCCAUUUCACCUUGCAUGCGUUGGUGGUCUAGCAAGAUAAGAUAGGUGCAUUGCUACCAAAUCCUCCAGGAGAGGAGAGGCUUGUGUGAGCCCAGAGACAUUUUGGGUUUGUUCCAUGCUGAUUUCUGUUUUGUCCAUUGAGCAGACAGAUUUGUCCUAAAAAGCUGGUAUUCCACAAAAAUGUCCCUGAGGAGAUGCAUCUGCCAGUCCCUGUUACAUGUGCUGACAGACACAGUCUUGCCCACCAUCUGAAUAUACAAAGAACCAGAGUCUGGACUGACUGAAGCGGUACAAAACACCACAGGGAGGGCUCUGUACCUCCGACAAUGUGUUCUGGAAAAAGAGACCAGCCCCUAAUUAAAUAUCAUGCUUUAGAAACCACGUAAUUCUUAGUGUUUUGUGCAGAACAUAAUUUAACAUUUUCAGUGCUGUGUUUCUUCCUCCCUUUCUUAACAAUACUGGGAUUACCUGCUCAUGGCCAGUCUGUAGCCACAACCCACUUGGCGAAGACCCCCUUUAUGGAGCUCCAAUGACUUUACUCUCAGCAGCGUUAUCACUGGUCUACUUUGAGGUCUCUUGCUGGUGGCAGAGGAGGGCAAGGACCAUUUAUAUUGAUGACAACUUUGUGCUACUAAAACCAGGGCAUGCCCAAGCCCUCUUACUGAGGUAGAAGCAGACUCUGGCUUGGGAAGCAGAUGUCCUGACUUCAUGUCCCUGAAGACUUAGCCCUUCUGUGCAGCCACAGGGAAUUUAGUUGAGUUUCUCACACAGCUUGAUUAUGUCUCUUCCUAUUUACCAAGAUGAGCAUGAGCUCUUGACUGAGAAAAAAUCAACUCAAGAGAUGAAAUUUUGCUUCCAUCAAAAGCAGGAGGGAUUUUGCCAGCUGUAAUGGAGAGACAGAGCCAUCUGGGUCGAGGGCUUGAUCACACUGCACCUGAGUACCAAAUGACCCAGCUAUGGAGGAAGGAGAAUUUUGAUCACCAGUAGAACUCAGCCCACUGUCAUGCCGCAUGAGCAUGACAGAGAGUUUUUGGCUGAUUAAUUAUGGCAAAGGAUAUCUGGUUUUUUAGAGUUGUAAUAUAUACCACAUUCUUUUAAAAAGUCACUGAAGUCUGACUUUAAGAAGUCAGAUGAAAAUCUGUUGAGGGAAAAGGAGCUGUUCUUUUAGAUCUAAACUGACCAUCUCAAGAAGGUUUCAAGACUGGAAGAGAUGGCAGGUAGAGGAAAGGACCAAGACAGAGAGCUUAGCAAAAACCCAGAAGGCUACAGGCCAAUACUGGGGGAUUGCUGAAGAAAACAAAGAAAUUGCACAGAAUUUUUUGCAAGUCAGACAACCACUGAGUUGACUGAAAACAAAAGGAGAAACAAGGACAAAGCAUCUUGUUCAAAAACAACUUCUUGCUUUACUUUACUUAAUUGCUUUGAAUCAUUCUGAUUAAAAAGGUAAUUAUUCUAGUCUGCUUUUUGAAUUUACAAGGCACUGUGGUCUUCAUGGAGAUAUUAGUAAAUAAUCUAGGCACAUCUUUCUGAAAGCUGUGCCUGAUUUGUAGUCCAAUCACAGUACUGAAAAGAACAAAGGAAAACAAAACAAACAAACAAAAACCAUAACAAUGCUUUCCAAACUGAAUCAGAGUGCUAUAGCCACAAGUAGGAAUCAGCCUCAUUAAUGCUGGCUCUAGGCAACUCAUUAUUUUUCUCUAAGCACUUCUCUCGAAUAGCCGCGAGGUUUAACAAGAAGAACUUAAAAGGGCCCAGAUACAUAUUGACAGACUGUUGUCACCCCUUCCAUGAUUUCGAGUGGAUGGUUGCUCCUGUUAGCUGCUAUCUGGAACAUGAAUGGGUCCCUGUUCUCUGACUCUGAUAUGGUGCUCAGCCCCUCCAUCUACAAACAAGGACUUCAGCUGCAAUCUAGUUUGUUAAUUAUUCCAAAUAUUCCAAGAAAUCGAGGGGAGGCUGCAACCUUCUUCAUAAUUAAAAAUUGCUUAAUGGAAUGAUAUCCUUAAUGGGAGCAUGACACUAAACCAUGAAGUCUUAACCUCACUUUCCACUGAUAAAGGUAUUAUGGAGCUAGAGACCAAUUUUUUCUGUCUGACUUCCCAACCUCCCCCUUCCCUUCUGCUUAUGGGAAGAUGAUGAAUCUUUCCAUUUGUGAAUUACCCAACAUAAAUUAUUCAUGGAGCACUUUUAUCAACCCUAUUAGCAGCACACGAAUCUAGGUAAAUGUCAAGUCAUCUUCGUUAAUCCUUCAUUCAGGCCGCUGGAAGUGAUACUGCACUGACUGGUAAUGCAUUUGACCUCCUGGAGUAUUCAUUCUGCCAGAGAGUCGCAUUUUGAUGCAAAAGUCUAUGUGUUUCCUUGUGGAAGAGCUUGGACUCUAUCUUUUCUGAAUAAUUUGGUGGUAGGAGGUGGCCCUGAUGGUUGUAUAUUUGCUUCUAGCUCAUGUAUUUCAAAUGGAGAAAAAUAAAGGACCUAUUAGCUGAUCUCA